ACAUGGCCACCUCUCGUUUGCCUCCAGCGACGCUAACGCUAAAGCAGUUCAUGAGAAGGCAACAAGUUCUCCUCCUCUACAGAAGGAUUUUGCGAGCCAUUCGACAAGUUCCAAAUGAUUGUGAUCGCAGAUACCUGAAAGACUGGGCGAGGGAAGAAUUCAAAAGAAACAAAAGUGCCACCGAAGAGGAUACCAUACGUAUGAUGAUUACGCAAGGCAAUAUGCAGCUAAAGGAGUUAGAAAAAACACUUGCUUUAGCAAAAUAACUAUACCUGUCUUCUGAAGGAUUUUCAAAUCUCCAAAGCCAGCCUAACAAGUUGCCAGUUAGCACCUGAAAGGAUGAUCACGUCAUCAGGGAAG
Non-coding RNA from Castor canadensis (American beaver), 360 nucleotides. NCBI's taxonomy places the organism in Eukaryota, Metazoa, Chordata, Mammalia, Rodentia, Castoridae. The record is from RefSeq and is a predicted model, not a curated record.